CGCGUAGGCGGUUUGAUAAGUCGGAUGUGAAAGCCCCGGGCUCAACCUGGGAAUUGCAUUCGAUACUGUCAGGCUAGAGUAUGGUAGAGGGAAGUGGAAUUCCAGGUGUAGCGGUGAAAUGCGUAGAUAUCUGGAGGAACAUCAGUGGCGAAGGCGACUUCCUGAACCAAUACUGACGCUGAGGUGCGAAAGCGUGGGGAGCGAACA
RNAcentral lists this ribosomal RNA (207 nucleotides) under uncultured bacterium. Its description in RNAcentral is "partial 16S ribosomal RNA". It matches the Rfam family "Bacterial small subunit ribosomal RNA", at positions 568 to 774 of the family's 1533-position model. The record is from RNAcentral.